Tachysurus vachellii is the source of this 630-nucleotide non-coding RNA. NCBI's taxonomy places the organism in Eukaryota, Metazoa, Chordata, Actinopteri, Siluriformes, Bagridae. The record is from the annotation of a RefSeq genome assembly.
AUGAUCUCUACAUCCCUACUGCUGCUGCUGCUGGCAGCCGUACACUGUGUUCACAGUGUUGAGCUGAUCCAGACCGGAUCCACAGUAUUAACUCCUGGUCAGUCACUGACUCUGACCUGUAAAGUGUCUGGAUAUUCAUUAACUGAUUACAGCUACUGUACACACUGGAUACGACAACCUGCAGGAAAAACUCUGGAAUGGAUCGGACGUAUAUGUGCUAGUGGGGGCACUGCCUACAGUGAGAAACUGAAAAGCAAGUAUCAGAUUUCCAGAGACACGUCCAGCAGCACAGUGACAUUAACAGGACAGAACAUGCAGACUGAAGACACAGCUGUGUAUUACUGCGCUCGUGAACUUGGUAGCUACUGGAUGGCUUGGAUCAGACAGGCGCCUGGAAAAGGGCUGGAAUUUGUUGCAACUAUUGAGGGUGAUAGUGAUAGGAAGUAUUACUCCAGUGCUGUUCAGGGCCGCUUCACCAUCUCCAGAGACAACAGUAAGAAGCAGGUGUAUCUGCAGAUGAACAGCAUGAGGACAGAAGACACAGCAGUUUAUUACUGCCUACAUAUAGAGAAAUAUCAGCCACUGUCACUGUGGGCUCUGGAGAAGUACAAAUUGUUUGAGAACAUUUAA